This 2610-nucleotide small RNA is filed under the name Pan troglodytes (chimpanzee). RNAcentral's name for it is "retained intron". Lineage: Eukaryota; Metazoa; Chordata; Mammalia; Primates; Hominidae. The record is from RNAcentral.
AUGGAGGCGGUGAAGGCGGAAGCGUGGGAGGGGGCCGCGGUGGCCCAGGACCUGCUGGCUCUGGGGUAUGGAGGUGUCCCGGGGGCGGCGUCGCGGGGCGCCUCAUGCCCAGACUUCAGGGGGCUGUGCGUGCGGCUGGCGGCGGAGCUGGGGACGCUGGGCGCCCUCGAGCAGCAGCGAGAGGCGGGCGCGGAGGUGCUGAGCGCCGGCGACGGUAAACACGGAGCGGGAGGGUGGCAGGGGGGCCGCCACGGGGCCACCGAGCCCUGACACCCCUGUCCUCGCAGGCCCUGGCGCGGAGGAGGACUUUCUGCGGCAGCUCGGCAGCCUGCUGCGGGAGCUGCACUGCCCGGAUCGCGCGCUCUGCGGCGGGGAUGGCGCGGCAGCGCUUCGGGAACCCGGUGCCGGACUGCGCCUGCUGCGCUUUCUCUGCUCAGAGCUCCAAGCCACCCGCCUCCUGUGCCUGCGCUCUCUGCUGGAUCCGAGUCCUAGGCCACCCCUUGGUGAAGGGGUGGUGGAGGGGGCCGGCAUGGUCCAAGAACUGGACCUUACCCUCCAAGCCCUGGGGCUGCCCAGACCUGCACCAGGGACCCCCGCCAGCCAGCUGCUGCAGGAGUUGCAUGCUAAGAUCUCAGAGCUGCAGCCUUCUCUGCCCCCAGGGUCCCUGCAGCCCCUCCUCAGCUGCUCGCUAGAUGCACCCAGAUGGGAAGCGUUGGAGUCUCUGUCCCAAAGCCUCAGAGAUCAGUACCGCUGCCGCCGCUGCCUCCUCCUCAAGCGCCUUGACCUCACUACAUCUGCUUUCCACUGGAGUGACCGGGCAGAGGUGUGGUGGGCAGGGGACCGUGCAGAAUUGGAGAGGCCCAGUUGUGGGGGCUGCAGUUGCAGGGAGGAGGAAUGAGGGCCAGGAGUAUCACCCUCUUGCAGGUUCUCAGGCCGUGGACAUUUUAUAAUUUUUUGAGGUUUGGGGCUCCUAGAAUCUCAGGGUCCCAGGGUAUUGUUGAAUUCCCAGCUCUGAGCUGGGAGUAUAUUCAGAGGCAUACCCCAUCAUUUUUUUUUUUUGAGAUGGGGUCUCGCUCUGUUGCCAGGCUGGAGUGUGGUGGUGCGAUCUCAGCUCACUGCAACCUCCGACUCCCGGGUUCAAGUGAUUCUCCUGCCUCAGCCUCCUGAGUAGCUGGGAUUACAGGCACAUGCCACCAUGCCCAGCUAAUUUUUGUAUUUUUAGUAGAGACAGGGUUUCACCAUGUUGGCUAGGAUGGUCUCGAUCUCCUGACCUUGUGAUCUGCCUGUCUCGGCCUCCCAAAGUGCUAGGAUUACAGGCAUGAGCCACUGCACCCAGCCUUUUUUUUUAAUUUUUUUUUUUUUUUUUUUUUUUGAGACAGAGUUUUGCUUUUCUUGGCCAGGCUGGAGUGCAAUGGUGCGAUCUUGGCUCACCGCAACCUCCGCCUCCUGGGUUCAAGUGAUUUUCUUGCCUCAGCCUCCCGAGUAGCUGGGAUUUCAGGCAGGCACCACCACGCCGGGCUAAUUUUGUAUUUUUUAGUACAGACAGGGUUUCUCCAUGUUGGUUAGGCUGGUCUCAAACUCCCAACCUCAGGUGAUCUGCCUGCCUUGGCCUUCCAAGGUUCUGGGAUUGCAGGCAUGAGCCACCACGCCUGGCCAAGUGUACCCCAUCUUUAAGAGAUACGAGCAGAGUAAGGCACAGUGGCUCAUGCCUGUUAUCCCAGCACUUUGGGAGGCCAAGGCAAGAGGAUCACUUGAGCUCAGAAGUUUGAGACCACCUUGGGCAACAUAGCAAGACCCCCAUCUCUACUAAAAAUUAAAAAAAAAAAAUUAGCUGGGCAUGGUGGCGCAUGCUUGUCAUCUCAGUUACUCAGGAGGCUAAGGUAGGAGGAUCACUUGAGCCCAGGAGAUUGAGGCUGCAGUGAGCCACCAUCACGCCACUGCACUCCAGGCUGGGUGACAGCGAGACCCUGUCUCAAAAAAUAAAUAUUUAUUUGAGCUGUGGGCAGUGAGGUCUUGAAUGGUAAAGUGAUGCUUCCAAGAUGACAGGUCCCACUUGGGGAAGGGCUCCAGGGUACCUUCUCUUACCUCCUCCCCACUCCAGGCCCAAGGAGAGGCCAUGAGGGCAGUGCUGAUCCCAAUUCGAGAGGUUCUGACCCCAGAAUCGGAUAUCUCCAUUGCACACGUUCUGGCUGCCCGAGCCGACCUGUCUUGUCUCGUCCCAGCCACCAGCGUGGCUGUCCGCAGAGGGACCUGCUGUGCCAUCAACAAGGUGCUUAUGGGCAACGUUCCAGACCGGGGGGGCCGCCCAAAUGAGCUGGAGCCUCCCAUGCCCACCUGGAGGAGCCGAAGAGAGGAUGGAGGCCCCCAGUGUUGGGGUCGCAAGAAGAAGAAGAAGAAGAAGUAAAGGGGGACUGGUGGUCGGGGGCGGGGGGUCCUCCAUGAGAUGCUAAUGCUAUCGGUAAUCUCUGGGGAGUCCGUUUAAGGCUUUCCUUGGUAUUUGGCACCCAAGCCCCCCAUCUCCUAUUCCUGAGUCCCCAAAUGCCCUGCUCCCAUUCACGUCAAUACCAAGAACCAUGUUCUCCAGAGAAUAAAUUUAAUUUAUGACAGCUG